RNAcentral lists this long non-coding RNA (578 nucleotides) under Homo sapiens (human). RNAcentral's name for it is "non-protein coding lnc-UTP11-1:7". The record is from RNAcentral. Lineage: Eukaryota; Metazoa; Chordata; Mammalia; Primates; Hominidae.
GCGGGUCCUGGCGGCUGCGAGCGCGAGGCGGCGCGGAUUCGCGGCUCGGUUCCGGCGCGACUGCUCACCGCGCCCGCCUCGCCUCCCGCGGCUGCCAGCGUGCACUGGGCGCUCCUCGGCGCGUCUGCCCGGCCCGUCUCGGCUUUCCUUCUCCUUCCUCUAGUCCCAGCGUCACAACUCCGCCGACCUCCUCUGCCCUGAGAGCGCGUCCGGUGCGGGCGGAGUCGGACGGACUCUGGCUUCACGCCUCGCGCGGGCACACCUUCUCCCGGGCACUGAGGCCCAGGGGAGGCAGAGUCCUUCUGGAGUUUGACCCUUGGAUUCCAUCCAGAGCAGCCUCCAAAAUGACACCUUUGAAGUUGUGUAUCGAGCUGGGGGAUGUAAAGGGAGGAGAAGAAAGAAGAUGAAGAGAUACCAGCCAGCCUUAAGGAGUGGACAUCCUGCCUGGUGAAACUGAACAAGACACCUACCGCAUAUGGAGUUUCGCUCUGUCGCCCAGGCUGGAGUGCAGUGGUGCCAUCUCGGCUCACCGCAACCUCCACCUCCAGGUUCAAGUGAUUCUCCUGCCUCAGCCUCUC